RNAcentral lists this ribosomal RNA (801 nucleotides) under Triticum aestivum (bread wheat). Its description in RNAcentral is "partial small subunit ribosomal RNA". The record is from RNAcentral. Lineage: Eukaryota; Viridiplantae; Streptophyta; Magnoliopsida; Poales; Poaceae.
AUGGCGCUCCACGCCGUCUCCCCUGCGGCGGCGGCCUCCCCGCCCUGCGCCCUCUCCUCUGCCCGUCUGCCCCAGCGCCCAGGUUGUGGUUGUCUCUCAAACCGUUCAUCCCUGUUAAGUUCGUCCACAAACUUCAUGAAAUUUCAUUCUGGAGCAGUGGGUUUCUUUGGUGUGCCUUUGGUUCUUCAACACUCGGACAAGAGAGCAGUUUUGAGGCAUGCCACUAAUGAAGAAAUUGAGGAAGAAAAGAUGAUCGUUGAAGAACAAGCUAAAGAAAAGAUGGAGAAGGCCAUUGAAACAGUUCAAUCGAACUUCAAUACCGUCAGGACUGGGCGGGCAAACCCGUCUAUGCUCGACAGGAUUGAGGUUGAGUACUAUGGAACUCCUGUAAACUUGAAGACUAUUGCACAGAUAAAUACCCCAGAUGCGACUUCUCUUCUUAUCCAACCAUAUGACAAGUCUUGCCUCAAGCUCAUUGAGAAAGCUAUAGUUGCUGCAAAUAUUGGGGUAACACCAAGCAAUGAUGGAGAAGUGAUACGAGUCACUGUCCCACCAUUGACAUCUGACCGCAGAAAGGAAAUGACAAAAACCGUAGCCAAGUUAUCUGAAGAAGGCAAGGUUGCUAUCAGAAACAUAAGACGAGAUGCAAUCAAAGCCUACGAUAAGCUAGAGAAGGAAAAGAAACUUUCUGAAGAUAAUGUGAAGGAUUUAUCAGCCGAUCUACAAAAAAUCACAGACGAGUACAUGAAAAAGGUUGAAGCCAUCCAAAAGCAGAAGGAACAGGAGCUGAGCAAGGUUUAG